CAACCAGACUCCUACGGGAGGCAGCAGUGAGGAAUAUUGGUCAAUGGCCGGAAGGCUGAACCAGCCAAGCCGCGUGAAGGACGAAGGUGCCAAGCAUUGUAAACUUCUUUUGUCAAGGGACAAAAUCAGGCUCGAGAGCCUGACCGAGGGUACUUGAAGAAAAAGCAUCGGCUAACUCCGUGCCAGCAGCCGCGGUAAUACGGAGGAUGCGAGCGUUAUCCGGAUUUAUUGGGUUUAAAGGGUGCGCAGGCGGAAGAUCAAGUCAGCGGUAAAAUUGAGGGGCUCAACCUCUGCGAGCCGUUGAAACUGGCGUUCUUGAGUGGGCGAGAAGUGCGCAGAAUGCGUGGUGUAGCGGUGAAAUGCAUAGAUAUCACGCAGAACUCCGAUUGCGAAGGCAGCGCACCGGCGCCCUACUGACGCUCAGGCACGAAAGCGUGGGUAUCGAACAGGAUUAGAUACCCUCGUAG
RNAcentral lists this ribosomal RNA (467 nucleotides) under uncultured bacterium. Its description in RNAcentral is "bacterial SSU rRNA". It matches the Rfam family "Bacterial small subunit ribosomal RNA", at positions 328 to 793 of the family's 1533-position model. The record is from RNAcentral.